CUUAAACGACACUCUUUGCAAA
Molecule: small nuclear RNA, 22 nt
Filed under: Arabidopsis thaliana (thale cress)
Lineage: Eukaryota; Viridiplantae; Streptophyta; Magnoliopsida; Brassicales; Brassicaceae
Description: snRNA_03568
Source: RNAcentral